Molecule: ribosomal RNA, 34 nt
Filed under: Timarcha erosa vermiculata
Lineage: Eukaryota; Metazoa; Arthropoda; Insecta; Coleoptera; Chrysomelidae
Description: partial 28S ribosomal RNA
Source: RNAcentral
CGACCUCAGAGCAGGUGAGACUACCCGCCGAAUU